UAUUCCAGAAAAAAAUCACUUGAAUAUAGUUUAACAUUUGUGGCAUUAUAGAUGUGAGAAUCAGUUUGUUUCUCAAAACUGUUUUCUUUCUAUUAAGCCCCAAUUUGUCUCAAAGAUAUUCUUUUAAUUGCUAAAUUUACGCAGCCAAUGUGCGGGGAGCUGCCCGUGAGAACGGGGUCCUUUGUUCGAAGGACACAGCUCUGGGAGCUGCCUCAGUCCUUGAGGGUUUGCUUGCAAACAUAGCUCUCUGUCCCGCCACCCCAGAGAUUAGGCGCUUAUUUACUGCAGACACCUGGAGUUCGGUGCAAACUUCUCAGCACAGGGAAAUGUUAUCUGGUGUAAGAAAUAAUAACAGGGUGCCAUUCCCAUGCUCUCAAGAUUUCUUGUGACUUUUUGUAAGAUGUAUAGGACAACCAAGAAAAAAUGUCAACUGUCUUGUCUUUCUCACGCUUUUCGUAUAAAUAUAAGAUGCUGAAUAAAGUUGGUGUCAGACUGCGUCCCUUCGUGGAGACGUGUCUGAACCUCUCGACCCCAUCUUUGUUGUAGUCUCUUGCUUUAGUUUCUUUCUUAGCCCCGCCGUGCACGUUCUCGGGACCUGAUCGACUUUGCCAGCUGGCACCGGCACCAAUGCAUCCACUUUCAGAGCAUUUUUGAGAGUUGGUGAAUCUCAGAUUUUCACGUUGCGUGGAAACUCCCAGGGAGAGUACUGCGGGGUCACCAGGCAUGAGUUGCUGGAGGAAGCCGGGAGACAAGGCGUGCCUUCGCACAGUGGGACGGGCCAACUGUUGUGGUCUGGCUGGAGCUCUGGGUCGGGAUGCCGGCCUGGUAGGUGGCUGCUUGCCGAGCCAACGUGAAGAGCGGUGUCAUCAUGUCUGCCCUGUCACACGGAGAUCCAGCGUGAGAUCGGCAUCAGCAACCCGCCGCACCUGCUGAAGCUGCGCCUGGCAAUCCAGGAGAUCAUGUCCCUGACCGGCCCCUCCGCCCCUCGCACGUCCAGGUCCAGAACGGUGCACCUCCCUCCUUCCGUAGGGAGAGUUCGCCACCCCCCCUCCCCGUUUGUGUCGCUUGCGGGGUUUUCUAUACAGAUGUCCACUGUUCCAGCUUA
This 1105-nucleotide long non-coding RNA is filed under the name Bos indicus x Bos taurus (hybrid cattle). Its description in RNAcentral is "lncRNA (ENSBIXG00005020190.1)". Lineage: Eukaryota; Metazoa; Chordata; Mammalia; Artiodactyla; Bovidae. The record is from RNAcentral.